Molecule: long non-coding RNA, 1494 nt
Organism: Neocloeon triangulifer
Lineage: Eukaryota; Metazoa; Arthropoda; Insecta; Ephemeroptera; Baetidae
Exons: 7
Source: RefSeq, a predicted model, not a curated record
AUUUGUUGUUGAUUUUAUCAAGAUUUUACUGAUAUUUAACAGAUUUCUGCAGAUUACGAUUACAAAAACGUCGAGAGCCGCAAAGAUAUUAUAACGGAAAAAAGUAUGCUGGGCCAGGCCGGCCCAGCAGAUUCGCCGAUUUUUCAACUUCCCGCAUCUCGCCGGAUCACUAAUAUUCUCCACUCGCAAUCGAAUUUCGUUCCGCAGAGGAAAGCGGAGAGGCUCGAUUCUUCGUGCUCGCCCCAAGCAAUCUGGGCAAGGUGGCAACCACGCCGAGCUGCGAUGAGUGCAAAUUUACGACUUCAAAAGCUGGAAUCCGGCUUUCCAAGCCGGAGGAAUUUGUCCACGAGUUGCAGGCGCUGAACAGGUGCACUUGGCCGUUUAUGAAAACGCAAAUGUGGUCGUCACCUAGGACGGCUUUGGCCACAGUGAGGAUGACAACUUCUGCCCUCGGUCAGUGCUAAUGUGUGGUCUUCUUUUGAGUCCAUCGGGUUUUGCAACAGCAGCUUCCAGCCCAGAUCUCAAAGAUUACAAGCACAAGAACUGCGGCUUAUUCGCAACUCAUUUAGGAAAGGGACUGGGACCUCGUCAUGCAACCUUUUUAUGUCCUAAUUCAAACUGUUUCACUGCCUCCUGAAUUCUAGGACUUUGCAGAGAACGCGAUUUUCAUUUCAUGCAUGUCUUUGGGCAACAGUUCGGCGAAAAUAUGAUCGAGUUGGAGAAUGAGAUACUCGUUGGCUACCCUUUGCAUGUGACCCUUUUGAAGAACCAACAGUCCCUGUUGCUAAUAAACAAAUUUAUUAAAAAGCUCAAAUCUUUGAAGGAAGCUGUAACACUAGUUGGUGGAGACGAAAAGUUAUGGUGUUGAAUGCUUUUUCUUUUACUUUUUUAAGCAAAUACACAAUCCAAUUUAUGUAAAUAUAAUUUUGAAAUUUUUUAUCUUGAGAGUGCGCUUAAGUAAAUAUCCCUCCUAUGUAAGAAGGGACAAGUCAAGACUAUUGAAAGUCCUCUAGGCUUGCAGCAGGCUUGCAGCAAUUUUAAUAAAGACAAUUGAACCUUGGAAACUCUAAACCAUACGCAAUUUUGCAGGGAAAGGACAGAGACGGAACUUUGGUUUUUAUCAACCCCUAUUGCCAGUAUUUUUUAUUUGCAGCUGGUGGACAAUAAGCUGCAAACAAUAAUUGUAGAAAUCCCAUGUCUUCUCUGUGGAUUAUGAGGAAGUUGGAAUUCAAGAGCCCAAGAAGAUGGUCCUCAGGCAGGUGCAAGUUGACAAAACAAUCAAAAUUCUGGAAAAAUUUUCUUUCGGGACCCUAUGAUUUUGCCCAUAAAUGUAUAAAGGUCACAUGCAAGGAACACUUUUGCCAAGGAGGGGAGGACUUAUUUUACAACGUGGAAAUCUUGUCGGUGAAAGUGACACCUCCAGAAAUCCUUUUAAGGUAACAAAUUAUAUGUCAGUCCGAACCAGUCACACACUAAAUUGGCUUCAUAUUAUAA